CCUACGGGAGGCAGCAGUGGGGAAUUUUGCGCAAUGCUCGUAAGAGUGACGCAGCGACGCCGCGUGAAUGACGAAGGCCUUCGGGUCGUAAAGUUCUUUCGACAGGGAAGAAAAUGCCUAUAAGUAACUGUGUAUGUAUUGCCGGUACCUGUAUAAGAAGCCCCGGCUAACUCCGUGCCAGCAGCCGCGGUAAUACGGAGGGGGCGAGCGUUUUUCGGAGGGACUGGGCGUAAAGCGCACGUAGGCGGUGUUGUAAGUCAUUAGUCAAAGACUAGAGCUCAACUUUAGUAAGGCUGGUGAUACUAUAAUACUAGAGUAUCAGAGAGGAUUGCAGAAUUCCUGGUGUAGCGGUGAAAUGCGUAGAUAUCAGGAGGAAUACCGUUAGCGAAGGCGGCAAUCUGGCUGGAAACUGACGCUGAGGUGCGAAAGCGUGGGUAGCAAACAGGAUUAGAUACCCCAGUAGUC
Molecule: ribosomal RNA, 465 nt
Filed under: uncultured bacterium
Lineage: Bacteria
Description: partial 16S ribosomal RNA
Rfam family: Bacterial small subunit ribosomal RNA
Source: RNAcentral